UACAGAGGUCCCAAGCGUUGUUCGGAUUCACUGGGCGUAAAGGGUGCGUAGGUGGUCGGGUAAGUCUGAGGUGAAAUCUCCGAGCUCAACUCGGAAACUGCCUUGGAUACUAUCCGGCUUGAGGGUUGGAGGGGGGACUGGAAUUCUCGGUGUAGCGGUGAAAUGCGCAGAUAUCAGGAGGAACACCGGUGGCGAAGGCGGAUCUCUGGGCCUUACCUGACGCUGAGGCGCGAAAGCUAGGGGAGCAAACAGG
RNAcentral lists this ribosomal RNA (253 nucleotides) under uncultured bacterium. RNAcentral describes it as "partial 16S ribosomal RNA". It matches the Rfam family "Bacterial small subunit ribosomal RNA", at positions 524 to 776 of the family's 1533-position model. The record is from RNAcentral.